RNAcentral lists this ribosomal RNA (1566 nucleotides) under Enterococcus mundtii. Its description in RNAcentral is "bacterial SSU rRNA". It matches the Rfam family "Bacterial small subunit ribosomal RNA". Lineage: Bacteria; Bacillati; Bacillota; Bacilli; Lactobacillales; Enterococcaceae. The record is from RNAcentral.
UAUGAGAGUUUGAUCCUGGCUCAGGACGAACGCUGGCGGCGUGCCUAAUACAUGCAAGUCGAACGCCUCUUUUCCCACCGGAGCUUGCUCCACCGGGAAAAGAGGAGUGGCGAACGGGUGAGUAACACGUGGGUAACCUGCCCAUCAGAAGGGGAUAACACUUGGAAACAGGUGCUAAUACCGUAUAACAAUCGAAACCGCAUGGUUUCGUUUUGAAAGGCGCUUUACGGUGCCGCUGAUGGAUGGACCCGCGGUGCAUUAGCUAGUUGGUGAGGUAACGGCUCACCAAGGCCACGAUGCAUAGCCGACCUGAGAGGGUGAUCGGCCACAUUGGGACUGAGACACGGCCCAAACUCCUACGGGAGGCAGCAGUAGGGAAUCUUCGGCAAUGGACGAAAGUCUGACCGAGCAACGCCGCGUGAGUGAAGAAGGUUUUCGGAUCGUAAAACUCUGUUGUUAGAGAAGAACAAGGGUGAGAGUAACUGUUCACCCCUUGACGGUAUCUAACCAGAAAGCCACGGCUAACUACGUGCCAGCAGCCGCGGUAAUACGUAGGUGGCAAGCGUUGUCCGGAUUUAUUGGGCGUAAAGCGAGCGCAGGCGGUUUCUUAAGUCUGAUGUGAAAGCCCCCGGCUCAACCGGGGAGGGUCAUUGGAAACUGGGAGACUUGAGUGCAGAAGAGGAGAGUGGAAUUCCAUGUGUAGCGGUGAAAUGCGUAGAUAUAUGGAGGAACACCAGUGGCGAAGGCGGCUCUCUGGUCUGUAACUGACGCUGAGGCUCGAAAGCGUGGGGAGCAAACAGGAUUAGAUACCCUGGUAGUCCACGCCGUAAACGAUGAGUGCUAAGUGUUGGAGGGUUUCCGCCCUUCAGUGCUGCAGCUAACGCAUUAAGCACUCCGCCUGGGGAGUACGACCGCAAGGUUGAAACUCAAAGGAAUUGACGGGGGCCCGCACAAGCGGUGGAGCAUGUGGUUUAAUUCGAAGCAACGCGAAGAACCUUACCAGGUCUUGACAUCCUUUGACCACUCUAGAGAUAGAGCUUCCCCUUCGGGGGCAAAGUGACAGGUGGUGCAUGGUUGUCGUCAGCUCGUGUCGUGAGAUGUUGGGUUAAGUCCCGCAACGAGCGCAACCCUUAUUGUUAGUUGCCAUCAUUUAGUUGGGCACUCUAGCAAGACUGCCGGUGACAAACCGGAGGAAGGUGGGGAUGACGUCAAAUCAUCAUGCCCCUUAUGACCUGGGCUACACACGUGCUACAAUGGGAAGUACAACGAGUCGCGAAGUCGCGAGGCUAAGCUAAUCUCUUAAAGCUUCUCUCAGUUCGGAUUGUAGGCUGCAACUCGCCUACAUGAAGCCGGAAUCGCUAGUAAUCGCGGAUCAGCACGCCGCGGUGAAUACGUUCCCGGGCCUUGUACACACCGCCCGUCACACCACGAGAGUUUGUAACACCCGAAGUCGGUGAGGUAACCUUUUUGGAGCCAGCCGCCUAAGGUGGGAUAGAUGAUUGGGGUGAAGUCGUAACAAGGUAGCCGUAUCGGAAGGUGCGGCUGGAUCACCUCCUUUCUAAGGAA